CUCUCGACAACGGAUAUCUCGGCUCUCGCAUCGAUGAAGAACGUAGCGAAAUGCGAUACUUGGUGUGAAUUGCAGAAUCCCGUGAACCAUCGAGUCUUUGAACGCAAGUUGCGCCCGAAGCCACUUGGCUGAGGGCACGCCUGCCUGGGUGUCACGCAUCGU
This 162-nucleotide ribosomal RNA is filed under the name Angelica dahurica. RNAcentral describes it as "5.8S ribosomal RNA". It matches the Rfam family "5.8S ribosomal RNA". From Rfam's summary of the family: 5.8S ribosomal RNA (5.8S rRNA) is a component of the large subunit of the eukaryotic ribosome. It is transcribed by RNA polymerase I as part of the 45S precursor that also contains 18S and 28S rRNA. The record is from RNAcentral. Lineage: Eukaryota; Viridiplantae; Streptophyta; Magnoliopsida; Apiales; Apiaceae. RNAcentral also lists the same sequence under 2 other names.